AUAGGGGGAUUCGAACACGGGGAAUGACUAGUUGCUUAAGUGUUCACGUUAGGGUCACGCAAUCAAUUACCUCCUGAAUGUAUCGUCUCUAUUUCUAAUAUCUAAACACACAAGGAAACUAUAAUCUCCUCCUUCAUCUUAUCGGUCUCUUCCUUAUAGCAAUUCAAUCAUACCAAUAAUUGUUGUUUCCACCAAUAUAUUCACCCUCAUAAUCUCCAACUAUAAUACUGCACCCUCAUAGCUUUCAGCACACAAUUACCCUCAUUCCAAUCACUGGAAUUCUUCACACAAAACUGCCAUUCACAUUACGGUGUUUCAUACAAACACAAACUCAUUCUCUUUGUUGAAUUAUAAUCAGAUUUCAGCAUUCAAUCUUUCUUCUUCUCAAAUAAUACCAAUCACAUUUUCAUUCCAUAAUUCACUUUACAAUAUUCAAAAACUCUCAAUCCUCUUAUUUAAAGAAAAUAACAAAUAAAAGAAAAGAAGUAGCACCAAGCUUACCUUGACUCACAACUAUCACAGUCUGGUACCUUAAUUAACUUCUACAACUCCUAUAUACUUUCUUGUGAAUCUCCAGAUUCUAAUCGUAAUUCUGUAAUUAACCGCUUUUAAGAACUAAAUCACUCAUUUGUCCUCCUGAAUUUCUUAUUAUAUGGACUAUUAAUAU
RNAcentral lists this long non-coding RNA (667 nucleotides) under Physcomitrium patens. Its description in RNAcentral is "long non-coding RNA (PPAT_LNC003834)". Lineage: Eukaryota; Viridiplantae; Streptophyta; Bryopsida; Funariales; Funariaceae. The record is from RNAcentral.